CACACAGGCCACGCGCUAUAUUUGGAACAAACUACGCGUGCCUGCGCUCGCGCGGUCUGUCAGCUUCAGUGUCAAACAAGACACCUUUACACCACUUUUAACCAGACUCUUAUAGCAAUAUCCUAAAAUAGGUGGUCUUCUCUUCACUGCGCCGUCGCUUUGUCUCUCCAUCGGUCGUACUGCGCUUAACAGACUUCACUGUUGAUCCUAAUAUAGCGGGAUCCACGAGCAUGCGCAGGAAGCGGGGACGCGCUGCGCGCGGAGAGGCUCGACUGUAAUGCACACGCACAAAUGGACGCUGGCACGCAGGAUGGUUGCCAUGAGGACUAUAUAAUGAACAGCGUAGACUCCGAUCCAAAUGCAGAAGCUUAUAUGGACUUCAUGAAAAAACACUGUUGUUAUGAUGCAAUUCCCACCAGCUGCAAACUAGUCAUUUUUGACACCACACUGCAGGUAAAGAAGGCCUUCUUUGCUUUGGUGGCAAAUGGCCUGAGAGCGGCCCCUUUAUGGGACAACAAACUGCAGAGAUUUGUUGGUAGGACUGAUCAGAGUGUGUGCAUGUUAUUUUUUUUAUCUCUGAGUUGUUCUCUUGUUUCCUUCAUUCCCUUGCAUUUUUCCCCAGGUAUGCUGACUAUCACAGAUUUCAUCAAUAUACUUCAUCGGUAUUACAGGUCACCCAUGGUUCAGAUCUAUGAAUUGGAGGAACACAAGAUUGAGACAUGGAGAGAUGUUUAUCUGCAAUAUCACGAUCAAUGUCUCAUCAGUAUCACACCAGAUGCGAGCCUCUUUGAUGCUGUCUACUCUUUACUGAAACACAAAAUCCACAGGCUGCCGGUCAUUGACCCAGAGUCUGGAAAUGUCCUUCACAUACUGACCCAUAAGAGAAUCCUCAAGUUCCUUCAUAUAUUUGGAGCCUCGGUGCCCAAGCCACGCUUCUUGAAGAUGCAAAUUAAAGAUGCAGGAAUAGGAACUUUCUCAGACGUGGCGACCGUCUCACAGAUGGCCACUGUGUACGAUGCACUUUCUGUGUUUGUUGAGCGACGUGUUUCCGCUCUCCCAGUGGUGGAUGACGAUGGCAAGGUGGUCGCCCUGUAUUCCAGAUUUGACGUGAUUAAUCUUGCAGCACAGAAAACCUACAAUAACCUGAGCAUGAGCAUGCAGGAGGCCGUGCGGAGGAGACGCGGUUAUGUGGAAGGAGUCAUUAAAUGUUACCCUGACGAGACUUUGGAAACUGCUAUUGACAGAAUAGUCAAGGCUGAGGUUCAUAGGCUGGUGCUUGUGGACAGAGAAGAUGUGGUUCGGGGAAUAAUCUCUCUCUCAGACCUGCUGCAGGCCAUAGUUUUAUCUCCAGCAGGUAUUGAUGCUCUGUUUUCCUAACCUGAGAGGAUAUGUUUUCUCCUGUUACCUCAUCUAACCAGCACUAGUAUCCAGGUGUUCAUAACCAGUGAGCAAUAACUGAAAACACUUAUAUGCAAUGCUAAUGAUAGAAAAUUGCUGAUGAAUAGAGUUCUCCCUGCAUGUUUGUGCAUGUGCGUGACCUGUUUGUUGGUUUUAUGAGUAUUUGAAUGUUUGAGAAUACACUGGUGGGUCAGGGACGUGACCCAGGAGCCUUUGUUAUAGUCAUUUAACACCUGCCACUGUCCUGUCCUGUCCUCUCUGUGCUGAUAUUGUUGUUGUACUUCAGAGUAGGAAUACCAUGGUAUUAUCUAGUUCACUUUCUGUAAGUGUACUGUAUUCUCUUAUCCUGUUUCAGGCUUUUAAAGCAGAUAAAGUAUGACUGCAAGCAAGAAUGAAGAAAGGAGCUCUUUUUUUACAUUAUACAUUCAUAUUGUAAAAUAUGUUCAGUCUGGAUUACGUAGUGUAUAAUAUAUUAAGCAACACAUUUCUCAUUUAACUGAGAGAUCGUUUGUGAUAAAUGAGUACUGACAAAGGAAACUGCUGCAUUUUGUUUUGAUGAGUGAGCACAUGGGCUUGGAUUCUGAUCAAAUUGAUCAUCUAGUUUGCCUUUUUGUGCUAUGUUAUGAAAUGUAUUGUCAGAUUAUCAUGUUUUGUUUUUCUAAUAAACAAUUCCUUGUGCUCUUUCU
Molecule: RNA transcript, 2084 nt
Organism: Cyprinus carpio (common carp)
Lineage: Eukaryota; Metazoa; Chordata; Actinopteri; Cypriniformes; Cyprinidae
Gene: prkag3a
Gene name: protein kinase, AMP-activated, gamma 3a non-catalytic subunit
Exons: 12
Source: RefSeq, a predicted model, not a curated record